This is a long non-coding RNA of Astatotilapia calliptera (eastern happy), 2932 nucleotides long. Lineage: Eukaryota; Metazoa; Chordata; Actinopteri; Cichliformes; Cichlidae. The record is from Ensembl.
UUGCCAGGGGGCCAAGGGGGGCAUUAACAGGGAAAGGGGGGCACAAAGAAAUACUUUCUUAUUUUCAUUUAAAAUGUCUGGCUGUUAUUAAAUAAUUAUCUGAAGCUUACAACCAAAGUUUUUAUCUGAUGUAAAAUGUAUAGAAAUCAUACAUAUACCAACAAGACUGUGUACAUCACUGUCACAACAGUGUUUGUUUUCAUUCAAAGGCUAUAUGGCUUUAAUACCUGGUGGGCCGGUCUUUAGUCAAGCCCGGGCUGUUUUUUUGUCCCAGUCCAGCCCUGGGCACGACACGCAGUGAAUUAAUCUGAGAGGGUGCAUCAAAAAAUAAAUGGCCGGGCCAGCAGUGCAUAUCACAAAUCAGCUCGCAUAGACACAUUAGUUGUGCCUCUUCAUAAUGAAUGAUGGUAUCUUAGCUAACAACCCCAACUACCAGAUUCAACUUGUAAUUGGCUAAAAAUAAUUUAGCCUACUGGUGAGAGGGUCGUUGUUAGCUUUCCACAAUCCGACACUUCAAAAGCUUCAGGAGCUUUCCGCUCAGCACAGCAUCAGCACUACGGAAAUACACAGAUACAUCCGUAGACUCGAGACACAAUGCAUUUUUUUUUAAAUGUUAUUUAUAAGAUUUUAAGUUCAAAGUUACAUAACGUCACACCAGACAAAGGACAUAAGAUUCAAAAACAAUAACAUUUAAGCACAAAAAAAAAAAAAAAAACCAGAAACCAAACACACAACAAAAAAAAAACCAAACAGGAAAACAGGAAAGAAAAGGAAAAAAAAUUAAAUAAAUAAAAAAUUUAUUAAUAAAUGAAAAAAAAAAAAAAUACACCAGUUAGCCAGUACAAAUCAAAAGUUCAAAAGAAACACCAUUGUUCAAAGAAGAUGAUCUUCUGCGUGAGUUUAGACAGGGCAACAGAGAGUUCACCAAGACCAAAAGAUGUGGGAAACAAGUCCAGGAAGGAAUCAGGGUCCGGCAGAAGUGCAGUUUCACACAAACACAAAGUGCAGUCAAAUGGGUUAAAGUUUAUGUUGAAUUCCCAUUAAUAUGAUUGAGAAAAGGGCCCCAGAUUUCGACAAACUUAAAAUGGGUGUCAGCCAAACGAUAACGAACCUCUUCAAUAUACAAACAAGCAAUCAUCUCAUGUAGCCAAACCCUGAACAAUGGAGGAGAUGGUGAUUUCCAGGCUCUAAGAAUAAGUCUUUUAGCUACAAUCAUGCCAAACAUUAAGGCUCUCUGAAGAGGAUGUCUGAGUGCCAAUGAGGUUAGGGAGACACAAUGCAUUUUUGGGACUUUCAGGUGUAUGGACCAAUGUUUUAUUUUCUGAUCAAACCAGAAAUCUUUAAUGAGCAGCUAGAUUUGUCUCGCAUUAACUGGCUAAGUUAAUGCCAGUUAAUGCAACAUCGAAGCAGCUGGUAUCCACAGCUGUGCGUGUUCAUGGAGCUUGCAUUUUCACCUGCUGGACAUCACUACCUGACAAGUUUAACUGUCUUCAGAACAUUGCAGAGGCCUUAUUGACAGUAUUUGGCUCUAAUAUCUGUGUGAGCACAUUUUCUCCUACACGAAGCGUGUCCUCAGGUAGCCGUCUGAAUGCUGGAGUGCUGAGUGGGAGACCAGAGAUGACAUUAACAUGUGUGUCUCUGUAUUAACAGACAUGCCAUAUUGGCUUAGUUUAUUUUUCUUAUCAUUGUUGUGAGGACACCAUAAAUAGCAUUUGUAUUUUCUGUUGUACAGUCCAUUUGCUGUUAUGAAGUUCUUGUUGUGGAUAAAAUGUGUCUUUUUUUGUUUAUAUUGUGUAACUGUUCAUAUAGAGCAUUAUUAAAUUUAUUGCUAAAGCAAUCAUAUGGCACACUGACUUCUGAGGAAAUUUUAAAUGGCACUCGCCAUCAGAAAGGUUGCCUACCCCUGGUCUAGAGGAUAACCAAGUUAGGCACACUGACAAGUGUCCUAGUGACUGUCAAAAUUAACGCGUUAACGCAAAUUAAUCCGCCAUCACGGUCAAUGUGAUAAAAAAAAUUUAACGCAAUUAAUGCAUCUGGAGUGCAGAAUGACUCAAAAUCCCUGAAAUGUUUCUGUCAAUGCAUUUUGGGCAGUUUUUGCAAGUAGAGUUACCUUUGCACAUGGGCAAAUGGGCAGUUGAUCAGGUAGUGCGUAUAUUUUCCCUUUUUUCUCGAGUCUGUUUGCUCAUGCAAAAUUAAAUGCGAUUAAUAUAGAAUACAAAUAAAUGAUAUUUAAUCGUGAUUAAUCAAAAUUAAUCCACUGUAACCCUGUAAGGUUUUAAUUGUUUGACAGCACUCAUUUAUAUUAUAUAUUAGUGUAUACUUACCUAUUAGUAUAUAGGUUUUUUAAAAAGUUGUAUUUCACAGGAGAGAACCUGUGUUAAAAGAUUGAAGAAAACUAUUCAUUCAUAUUCAUAUUCAUAUUUUUUAAAUCACUAGUCCUGGCACAAGCAACUGGAUCUGCAUAGGCUAGGCCUGUUAGGCGUUGGCGGUUAGACUCCGAUUGCCCGCCUCGGCAGGUGUUCCAUGCUUGUGUAUUGGCAGGUAUGUGUGGGUGUGUGUGUGUGGAUACAGGUGUGUCUGGGAGCACCUGUUUACAGGCAUCUUCAGGCCCGGAUUGGAGUCUUUGCCAUCUCCAGGCCUGGCCAGGUGGCUGGCCACACCUUAAAAAAAUGAUCGCACACCUGCAGCUGAUCAAACAUCGUCGGGGGAGCUACAAAGCAGUGUGGCUGAGAGCUCCUCGACACUGGAUCGUUUUGUGACUUCCCGAGGAUUUGUGGAAACAAGGAAGCAGCAGACGGACUGUACACAAGGAACGGAGACAGAGCACGGCGCACUGGAGAAGGGAGAAGACACGGAACGGGAGUCGGGAUCGCACUGGGGAUUUAUUGUUGUUUGGAUUGUUACAUCUCUGUAAAUAAAUGCACUGCCUUCA